CUGGAAUCCCGCUCACUCGCUUUAUAAACAACUAUAUUAAAAUACAUAAUUUUGUGUGUAUAUGUGUUUGUGCGCAUAUUUGCGCUUUUGGACCAAUUACCGGUAAUCCAAGCGCGCUGGUGCUGAGAAAAACUGGGACAGCGCACAUGCAAUUACAACUAACAACGGAGAAGAAAUUAAAAUAACUGGUUGUGGAAAUGAGUGACGAGAAAGAAAACAACAACAAAAAAACACCCAAUAAAUUCCGUAAAAAAGCAAAAAUGUAGCAAAAACAACAACAAUAACAAAUUAUAGUCAAUACCGCAACCGAAAUCUUGGCCAGAAACAAAACCUGUAAAACAACAGCCGCUACAACAACAACAAUAAGCAAUAAUCGUAGUAGCGGUAUGCAGCAGCAACAGCUUAACAGCAACAACAACAGUGAAAACCAAAAAUACUCGCUUAAAAAGCAUUCAAGGAAAAGAAAAAAAAGUACUAAUGAAAUUAAGAGUGUACAACAAAUAAAAUGGAAAUGAAUACACUUUUCGGGUGUUAUGUCA
Long non-coding RNA from Bactrocera oleae (olive fruit fly), 539 nucleotides. RefSeq lists it as uncharacterized. The record is from RefSeq and is a predicted model, not a curated record. NCBI's taxonomy places the organism in Eukaryota, Metazoa, Arthropoda, Insecta, Diptera, Tephritidae.